GGACUGAGACACGGCCCAGACUCCUACGGGAGGCAGCAGUGGGGGAUAUUGCGCAAUGGGGGCAACCCUGACGCAGCAACGCCGCGUGAAGGAUGAAGGUUUUCGGAUUGUAAACUUUUUUAUUAAGGACGAAAAAUGACGGUACUUAAUGAAUAAGCUCCGGCUAACUACGUGCCAGCAGCCGCGGUAAUACGUAGGGAGCAAGCGUUGUCCGGAUUUACUGGGUGUAAAGGGUGCGUAGGCGGCUUUGCAAGUCAGAUGUGAAAUCUAUGGGCUCAACCCAUAAACUGCAUUUGAAACUGUAGAGCUUGAGUGAAGUAGAGGCAGGCGGAAUUCCCCGUGUAGCGGUGAAAUGCGUAGAGAUGGGGAGGAACACCAGUGGCGAAGGCGGCUUGCUGGGCUUUAACUGACGCUGAGGCACGAAAGCGUGGGUAGCAAACAGGAUUAGAUACCCUGGUAGUCCACGCUGUAAACGAUGAUUACUAGGUGUGGGGGGUCUGACCCCUUCCGUGCCGGAGUUAACACAAUAAGUAAUCCACCUGGGGAGUACGGCCGCAAGGUUGAAACUCAAAGGAAUUGACGGGGGCCCGCACAAGCAGUGGAGUAUGUGGUUUAAUUCGAAGCAACGCGAAGAACCUUACCAGGUCUUGACAUCCAACUAACGAAGUAGAGAUACAUUAGGUGCCCUUCGGGGAAAGUUGAGACAGGUGGUGCAUGGUUGUCGUCAGCUCGUGUCGUGAGAUGUUGGGUUAAGUCCCGCAACGAGCGCAACCCUUGCUAUUAGUUGCUACGCAAGAGCACUCUAAUAGGACUGCCGUUGACAAAACGGAGGAAGGUGGGGACGACGUCAAAUCAUCAUGCCCCUUAUGACCUGGGCUACACACGUACUACAAUGGAUGUUAACAGAGGGAAGCAAGACAGUGAUGUGGAGCAAACCCCUAAAAACAUUCUCAGUUCAGAUUGCAGGCUGCAACCCGCCUGCAUGAAGAUGGAAUUGCUAGUAAUCGCGGAUCAGAAUGCCGCGGUGAAUACGUUCCCGGGCCUUGUACACACCGCCCGUCACACCAUGGGAGCCGGUAAUACCCGAAGUCAGUAGUCCAACCUCGUGAGGACGCUGCCGAAGGUAGGAUUGGCGACUGGGGUGAAGUCGUAACAAGGUAACCGUACUAGUACGAUUAGCGA
RNAcentral lists this ribosomal RNA (1182 nucleotides) under metagenome. Its description in RNAcentral is "bacterial SSU rRNA". It matches the Rfam family "Bacterial small subunit ribosomal RNA", at positions 316 to 1521 of the family's 1533-position model. The record is from RNAcentral.